AGCGGCGGGUCUCUUUCCCCCCCGGUGACCGUCAGCGGCGUCUUAGCCUCCCGACACUGCGCUGUGGUAUUCAGAGCGCGCGCCCGCCCGCGCGGGAGAACGGAGCCCCCUUUGAACUGGGACCACACCGCACACACGACACAACACUCCGGGCUUCGAGAAGGAUGCAGGGAUUCAUCUUAUUGGACUCUGUCGCCCAUUAAUUUAGUCCGUAGUGUAUUACUAGACAACGAGCCGCCUGAUGACCAGCCCCGGGAUUUCACCUCGUCCUUCAGAGCCGCGCGAAUCACCAGAAAAAACGGCCGACCUUUCCCCCCUCCGACGGUCCGCCUCGGCUCUUUCCACAUAAAAGAAGCCCAGAGGCCACCGUCAGCAUCGUGCUCCGCCAUGACUAAAACAUCUGAAUGAAGCCCAGUGUGCAUGAGCCCGGAUGGCAGCGCAGGCUGAUGUCCAUAAUCCGGAUUCCCUGCGCUACUUGUUUUUUGGCCCUAAAUCUCACAGGUGCCUGAAUUUUUGUGCGGCCUGGAGCAUCCAGUCCUGACUCUUAAGACUUGUUUGCACCUGAGUAGUUGAGGGAACAAACGCAC
Molecule: long non-coding RNA, 587 nt
Filed under: Scleropages formosus (Asian bonytongue)
Lineage: Eukaryota; Metazoa; Chordata; Actinopteri; Osteoglossiformes; Osteoglossidae
Description: lncRNA (ENSSFOG00015026846.1)
Source: RNAcentral